Non-coding RNA from Acanthosepion pharaonis, 107 nucleotides. NCBI's taxonomy places the organism in Eukaryota, Metazoa, Mollusca, Cephalopoda, Sepiida, Sepiidae. The record is from the annotation of a GenBank genome assembly.
UACGCCCAUAUCAUUUUGAAACAUCGGUUCUCGUACGAUCACUGAAGUUAAGUAACGUCGAACCUUGUCAGUACAUAGAUGGGUGACCGCUUGAGAAUACCAGGUGU